GCGUUCAUACCAGCACUAAUGCACCGGAUCCCAUCAGAACUCUGAAGUUAAGCGUGCUUGGGCGAGAGUAAUACUAGGAUGGGUGGCCCCCUGGGAAGUCCUCGUGUUGCACCCC
RNAcentral lists this ribosomal RNA (115 nucleotides) under Salvia splendens (bonfire salvia). The record is from RNAcentral. Lineage: Eukaryota; Viridiplantae; Streptophyta; Magnoliopsida; Lamiales; Lamiaceae.